This 253-nucleotide ribosomal RNA is filed under the name uncultured bacterium. RNAcentral's name for it is "partial 16S ribosomal RNA". It matches the Rfam family "Bacterial small subunit ribosomal RNA", at positions 524 to 776 of the family's 1533-position model. The record is from RNAcentral.
UACGAAGGGUGCAAGCGUUACUCGGAAUUACUGGGCGUAAAGCGUGCGUAGGUGGUUUGUUAAGUCUGAUGUGAAAGCCCUGGGCUCAACCUGGGAACUGCAUUGGAUACUGGCUUACUAGAGUGCGGUAGAGGGGUGUGGAAUUCCCGGUGUAGCAGUGAAAUGUGUAGAUAUCGUCUGGAACGCCAAAGGUGAAAACAGACUGCUGGGAGUGUGCUGACGCUGAGACACGAAAGCCAGGGGAGCAAACGGG